UAGUCUUCUCCACCAAUGAGGAAGUGCGGCAGGCUGGGAGGGCUGGGCCUGGCAGCCGUGGCGCUUCUAGGGAGUCACCCGCAGCAGGGGCUCGUGGAGGCCGACUGCAGGCAGCUGAGGACCAUGGCGGCGGCGGUGGCGGCGGCGGCAGCAGUGCGGACCCGGAUCCUGCAGGUCUCUUCCAAGGUGAAUUCCACUUGGUACCCAGCAUCCUCCUUUUCUUCUUCAGUGCCAACUGUAAAGCUCUUCAUUGAUGGGAAAUUUGUUGAAUCCAAAAGUGACAAAUGGAUUGACAUCCACAACCCAGCCACCAAUGAGGUCAUUGGUCAUGUUCCUCUGGCCACCAAGGCCGAAAUGGACACGGCUGUUGCUUCCUGCAAACGUGCUUUUCCCGCAUGGGCGGACACUUCAGUAUUAAGCCGCCAGCAGAUCCUGCUCCGCUAUCAACAACUCAUUAAAGAAAACUUGAAAGAAAUCGCCAAGUUAAUCACAUUGGAACAAGGGAAGACCCUUGCUGAUGCUGAAGGAGAUGUAUUCCGAGGCCUUCAGGUGGUUGAGCAUGCCUGCAGUGUAACAUCCCUCCUGCUGGGAGAGACUAUGCCAUCCAUCACCAAAGACAUGGACCUUUAUUCCUACCGUCUGCCUCUGGGGGUGUGCGCAGGCAUUGCUCCAUUCAAUUUUCCUGCCAUGAUCCCCCUGUGGAUGUUUCCAAUGGCCAUAGUGUGUGGAAAUACCUUCCUACUGAAACCAUCAGAGCGAGUUCCUGGAGCAAGCAUGCUUCUUGCUAAGUUGUUCCAGGACUCUGGUGCCCCAGAUGGAACACUAAAUAUCAUCCAUGGACAACAUGAAGCUGUAAACUUUAUUUGUGAUCAUCCGGAUAUCAAAGCAAUCAGCUUUGUGGGAUCCAACCAGGCAGGAGAGUACAUCUUCGAGAGAGGGUCAAGACAUGGCAAGAGAGUUCAAGCCAAUAUGGGAGCCAAGAACCAUGGAGUAGUCAUGCCAGAUGCCAAUAAGGAAAAUACCCUGAACCAGCUGGUUGGGGCAGCCUUUGGAGCUGCUGGUCAGCGCUGCAUGGCUCUUUCCACAGCAAUCCUUGUAGGAGAAGCUAAGAAGUGGCUGCCAGAGCUGGUGGAGCGUGCCAAAAACCUGAGAGUCAAUGCAGGAGACCAGCCUGGAGCUGAUCUUGGCCCUCUGAUCACCCCCCAGGCCAAAGAGCGAGUCUGUAAUCUGAUUGAUAGUGGAACAAAGGAGGGAGCUUCUAUCCUCCUUGAUGGUCGAAAAAUUAAAGUGAAAGGCUAUGAAAAUGGCAACUUUGUUGGACCAACCAUCAUCUCAAAUGUCAAGCCAACUAUGACCUGUUACAAAGAGGAGAUUUUUGGUCCAGUUCUUGUGGUUCUGGAGACAGACACUUUGGAUGAAGCCAUCAAGAUUGUAAAUGACAAUCCAUAUGGAAAUGGAACCGCCAUCUUCACCACCAAUGGAGCCACUGCUCGGAAAUAUUCCCACCUGGUGGAUGUUGGACAGGUGGGGGUAAAUGUCCCUAUUCCAGUGCCUUUGCCAAUGUUCUCAUUCACCGGUUCUCGAUCUUCCUUCAGAGGAGACACCAAUUUCUAUGGCAAACAGAAAAGAGAGAAAAACUAACAGUUAUUGAACAGCAGUUACUUUGCUAGGACGUUUGAAGGUCAUCUCAUUUUCCCCUCACAGCGAGGGCAUCCAAUUCUACACUCAGCUAAAGACCAUCACUUCUCAGUGGAAAGAAGAAGAUGCUACUCUUUCCUCACCUGCUGUAGUCAUGCCUACCAUGGGCCGUUAGAAACAAGUUUGUUCCAGAUUCAGUCCACCCUGAGUAAUCUCCCUCUGUUCUUGACCAACUUCAUUUGCCAACUUUGCUCAGAUCAGAUCUCUAGGAUUGGAAUACCUGGUAAUUAAGACCUUUCUCAAGACCAUUGGCCCCUGCAAAGUUGUUCUGGGGAGAUUCCUAGUCUGACUCUGAAAACAGAUUUUCACUUGCUCCUUACUUUGGUUUUUGAGGUAACUUUUGUUAACUCUGAAACACUUAUAUGGAAUGAGAUCUUAGGUUAUUUUUAAAAGUUCUCCCCUUUUCUGAUGACUUGCGGAAGGGAAGAUAGUGUAUGUAAAGAAGAUCUUCCAAUAACUGGAAGAGGACUUCUUGGAUGGGGAAACAGGACAGAAAUUAAUUCACCUUUUGGUUGAUCCUCAAACACAGCCCUACAUAAAUGGCAGUGGGGGAGACCCCUCUGCCAAGCUUUCCUGAGCCUGUCAUUUAUCCCACACUAUGAAGGACAUAAUCCAUUUCUACUUAUCCCGUGGUUGUGACAACUGCUUUCUUUUCUGCUAAAUGCCACUUUGUCCUAGUGAUUCAUGACCACUAAUUACUAAUUCUAUCAUUGUUACUGUUCCUACUUCUUAAAAAUCACUUCUCAAGGAUACCUCAGUAUGUACUGGAUAAAUCAACUUUUUGUUGUGUGUGCCAAGUGUUAAAUUUCACAUUUGGCUUCAACAUUCAUUAAUGCUUCAGUCAUUAAUUCAGAUGCAAAUGGAGUUUUUUAAGAGCACUAUUUCAAAAGGUUUUUAGGGCCAGAAAUCAAGGGGUAUUCUAGCCAUGAAAGUGUGCAAGAGUCUUGCCUUAAGUAAGUGUAACCAGGUAUUACUUGUUGAAUUUUUUAUAUUGUUCUUUCUUCUUGCUUGCAUUUCUCGUUAGUGAUAAUUUUUAACGAAAGAACUCUUAAUGUAGAGUAAUUCAUUGGUGCCUAAGAAAUUUCAAGGCUCUUCAUGACAUGAAAUAGUAAAAAAGAAAUGCUUUGACAGAUUCUUCUGCAACCAUUAUAUUCAAGUGUCUUUACGCCUUUUCUUUUGGUAUAGCUAAACUUUAUGUCAGAACAGAAACUGAUGAGCUAAAAAAAACAGAUUCCCAACCGAAUCAAGUCUUUUCGGAUAUAGUUUUUACACAGUGAACUAAGAGACGGCUGCUGGCUCUGAUACAAUAGUCUUUGGUCCUCAGCCAGAUGAUAUAGGUCAUUUAUUUUUUCUGCUCCCUCAUGAGUCACUUGGAUAAUGCUAAUCUGCUCCAUGGCAGUGAUUCAGUGAACUAAGGAUAUGAAAACUUUGAAAACAUUUGUGCACUCUGUGGAUUUUAAUACUACCACUGCUGGAUAGAGUGUCAGAAUCUUCAAUCGUUUAAGGUGACUGGAACCUUAAUAAAAUACAUUUAUGACCCUAAUGGGUUUAUUGGUUUUUUGGGGUUUUUUUGUUUUUGUUUCUUUUUUUUGGAUUUGCCUUCCUAAAUAUGAGGCAAUAAAAAUUUAUAAUUUGAUAAUAGAAUGCCCUUUAUUUUCUUUCUACUUAUCACAGCUGGCAACUAAUAGUAAUACUUAAUCCAAUCCAACAACUAUAGGCUGGGUUGAAUGAAAGCUCAUAUUGUCUAAAUUCCAACUGGAAUUAAAUAUAAUCCCAGAGAUUCCUAUGUUUUCCUUAUAUUUAAGGGAAAUCACUUUUGUAAAAAUACUGACUCAUCAGAAUUGUGUUGCUCUAAUUGGAAUCAACUCAUUUGUCUAGCUACUUGCUACUCAAAAGAGUUUCUUGUUUCUUAUAUGGAAAAAAAAUAUGCAGUUGUAUUCAUGCUAAUAGCAUCUUAAAAAUUUAGUGUGGCCUCAUUUGAAAUUUCUCAGAUCCUAUGUUGUACUAAUUGAUUAUGAAUAACAAAUUACAAAUAAAAAGCUCUUAAAAAGAAAA
Felis catus (domestic cat) is the source of this 3753-nucleotide RNA transcript. It is a transcript of the gene named aldehyde dehydrogenase 6 family member A1, with no coding region annotated. Lineage: Eukaryota; Metazoa; Chordata; Mammalia; Carnivora; Felidae. The transcript has 13 exons. The record is from RefSeq and is a predicted model, not a curated record.